GACGAACGCUGGCGGCGUGCUUAACACAUGCAAGUCGAACGGAAAGGCCCUGCUUUUGUGGGGUGCUCGAGUGGCGAACGGGUGAGUAACACGUGAGUAACCUGCCCUUGACUUUGGGAUAACUUCAGGAAACUGGGGCUAAUACCGGAUAGGAGCUCCUGCUGCAUGGUGGGGUUGGAAAGUUUUGGGGGUUGGGGAUGGAAUCGCGGCUUUUCCGGUUGUUGGUGGGGUAGUGGCUUACCAAGGCUUUGACGGGUAGCCGGCCUGAGAGGGGGACCGGCCACAUUGGGACUGAGAUACGGCCCAGACUCCUACGGGAGGCAGCAGUGGGGAAUAUUGCACAAUGGGCGGAAGCCUGAUGCAGCAACGCCGCGUGCGGGAUGACGGCCUUCGGGCUGUAAACCGCUUUCGCCUGUGACGAAGCGUGAGUGACGGUAAUGGGUAAAGAAGCACCGGCUAACUACGUG
This 467-nucleotide ribosomal RNA is filed under the name uncultured bacterium. Its description in RNAcentral is "partial 16S ribosomal RNA". It matches the Rfam family "Bacterial small subunit ribosomal RNA", at positions 28 to 507 of the family's 1533-position model. The record is from RNAcentral.